AUUGAACGCUGGCGGCAUGCCUUACACAUGCAAGUCGAACGGCAGCACGGGAGCAAUCCUGGUGGCGAGUGGCGAACGGGUGAGUAAUAUAUCGGAACGUGCCCAGUAGUGGGGGAUAGCCCGGCGAAAGCCGGAUUAAUGCCGCAUGAGACCUGAGGGUGAAAGCGGGGGAUCGCAAGACCUCGCGCUAUUGGAGCGGCCGAUAUCAGAUUAGCUAGUUGGUGGGGUAAAGGCCUACCAAGGCAACGAUCUGUAGUUGGUCUGAGAGGACGACCAGCCACACUGGGACUGAGACACGGCCCAGACUCCUACGGGAGGCAGCAGUGGGGAAUUUUUGGACAAUGGGCGCAAGCCUGAUCCAGCAAUGCCGCGUGCAGGAAGAAGGCCUCGGU
This 392-nucleotide ribosomal RNA is filed under the name uncultured bacterium. Its description in RNAcentral is "bacterial SSU rRNA". It matches the Rfam family "Bacterial small subunit ribosomal RNA", at positions 29 to 423 of the family's 1533-position model. The record is from RNAcentral.